AGUCGAGCGGAUGAAGAGAGCUUGCUCUCUGAUUCAGCGGCGGACGGGUGAGUAAUGCCUAGGAAUCUGCCUGGUAGUGGGGGACAACGUCUCGAAAGGGACGCUAAUACCGCAUACGUCCUACGGGAGAAAGCAGGGGACCUUCGGGCCUUGCGCUAUCAGAUGAGCCUAGGUCGGAUUAGCUAGUUGGUGAGGUAAUGGCUCACCAAGGCGACGAUCCGUAACUGGUCUGAGAGGAUGAUCAGUCACACUGGAACUGAGACACGGUCCAGACUCCUACGGGAGGCAGCAGUGGGGAAUAUUGGACAAUGGGCGAAAGCCUGAUCCAGCCAUGCCGCGUGUGUGAAGAAGGUCUUCGGAUUGUAAAGCACUUUAAGUUGGGAGGAAGGGCAGUAAGCGAAUACCUUGCUGUUUUGACGUUACCGACAGAAUAAGCACCGGCUAACUCUGUGCCAGCAGCCGCGGUAAUACAGAGGGUGCAAGCGUUAAUCGGAAUUACUGGGCGUAAAGCGCGCGUAGGUGGUUUGUUAAGUUGAAUGUGAAAUCCCCGGGCUCAACCUGGGAACUGCAUCCAAAACUGGCAAGCUAGAGUAGGGCAGAGGGUGGUGGAAUUUCCUGUGUAGCGGUGAAAUGCGUAGAUAUAGGAAGGAACACCAGUGGCGAAGGCGACCACCUGGGCUCAUACUGACACUGAGGUGCGAAAGCGCGGGGAGCAAACAGGAUUAGAUACCCUGGUAGUCCACGCCGUAAACGAUGUCAACUAGCCGUUGGAAGCCUUGAGCUUUUAGUGGCGCAGCUAACGCAUUAAGUUGACCGCCUGGGGAGUACGGCCGCAAGGUUAAAACUCAAAUGAAUUGAC
This 859-nucleotide ribosomal RNA is filed under the name uncultured bacterium. Its description in RNAcentral is "bacterial SSU rRNA". It matches the Rfam family "Bacterial small subunit ribosomal RNA", at positions 60 to 914 of the family's 1533-position model. The record is from RNAcentral.